ACAACAACAACAGCAGCAGCAGCUGAGCCUUAAUCCCAAAGUAGUUGGGGAUUUAGAGUAUUAGAAAAGGGGGGAAAAAUUUUUCAACACUAACAUGAACAAAAUACUCAAUACAACGUGCAUCAAGCCUUUGAAAGUACUUCCAACUAUCGAUCAAUGGAACAAGUUCACGCACGAAAUGUUCUCUAACUGAACAAACCAAAAAUUAAGUAUUUGAAGCUUGCAUAGUACUGAUUCCACAAAUUUAAUUUUGCCAGAUAUCAGGGAAGCUAUUCCACUAAAGACAAAAUUAUUUUAUCAUCAAUGGCAGCACAAGAAGAGAAAUUUUCUAGACAGCAAUUUCCAUAAUUUUCCAAAGCAGACUUCAUCGGCCAGCAAAA
RNAcentral lists this unclassified non-coding RNA (380 nucleotides) under Hevea brasiliensis (rubber tree). The record is from RNAcentral. Lineage: Eukaryota; Viridiplantae; Streptophyta; Magnoliopsida; Malpighiales; Euphorbiaceae.